Molecule: unclassified non-coding RNA, 270 nt
Filed under: fungal sp.
Lineage: Eukaryota; Fungi
Description: partial internal transcribed spacer region
Rfam family: Eukaryotic small subunit ribosomal RNA (bases 1-46)
Source: RNAcentral
AAGUCGUAACAAGGUUUCCGUAGGUGAACCUGCGGAAGGAUCAUUAACUGUCGACCAAUAUGUGUCGGUCUAGAGGCAUGGAAAUUUUAACAGCUUGGGUACGCCCACUUUUAAAAGAGUACAUUCCUUUCUACCCUUGUUCUUUUGCGCACUUAUGUUUCCUCGGCAGGUUAGCCUGCCGAUUGGACAAUUAUAACACCCUUUAUUUCUCAAUCAGCGUCUGAAAAUAAUAAAUAUUUACAACUUUCAACAACGGAUCUCUUGGUUCUG